ACGGGAGGCAGCAGUGAGGAAUAUUGGUCAAUGGGCGGAAGCCUGAACCAGCCAAGUCGCGUGAAGGAUGAAGGUAUUAUGUAUUGUAAACUUCUUUAGACGUAGAGAAAUAAGGGGGUCGUGACCUCUGAUGCUAGUAUACGUAGAAUAAGGAUCGGCUAACUCCGUGCCAGCAGCCGCGGUAAUACGGAGGAUCCGAGCGUUAUCCGGAUUUAUUGGGUUUAAAGGGUGCGCAGGCGGCUUUUUAAGUCAGCGGUGAAAUCUCCGGGCUCAACUCGGAAACUGCCGUUGAUACUGGCGGUCUUGAUUCAUGUCGAGGAUGGCGGAAUGCAGCGUGUAGCGGUGAAAUGCUUAGAUACGCUGCAGAACUCCGAUUGCGAAGGCAGCUGUCCAGAGAUGCAAUGACGCUCAGGCACGAAAGCAUGGGGAUCGAACAGGAUUAGAUACCCUGGUA
RNAcentral lists this ribosomal RNA (454 nucleotides) under uncultured Porphyromonadaceae bacterium. RNAcentral describes it as "partial 16S ribosomal RNA". It matches the Rfam family "Bacterial small subunit ribosomal RNA", at positions 341 to 792 of the family's 1533-position model. Lineage: Bacteria; Pseudomonadati; Bacteroidota; Bacteroidia; Bacteroidales; Porphyromonadaceae. The record is from RNAcentral.